This 852-nucleotide ribosomal RNA is filed under the name uncultured bacterium. Its description in RNAcentral is "bacterial SSU rRNA". It matches the Rfam family "Bacterial small subunit ribosomal RNA", at positions 28 to 896 of the family's 1533-position model. The record is from RNAcentral.
GACGAACGCUGGCGGCGUGCCUAACACAUGCAAGUCGAGCGGGGAACCCCUUCGGGGGUUUUCAGCGGCGGACGGGUGAGUAACGCGUGAGCAACCUUUCCUUCACAGGGGGAUAACGCAGCGAAAGCUGUGCUAAUACCGCUUAAGACCACAAUGCCGCAUGGCAAAGGGGUCAAAGGAGCAAUCCGGUGAAGGGUGGGCUCGCGUCUGAUUAGCUAGUUGGUGAGGUAACGGCCCACCAAGGCGACGAUCAGUAGCCGACCUGAGAGGGUGAUCGGCCACACUGGGACUGAGACACGGCCCAGACUCCUACGGGAGGCAGCAGUGGGGAAUAUUGGGCAAUGGGGGAAACCCUGACCCAGCAACGCCGCGUGAGGGAAGAAGGUCUUCGGAUUGUAAACCUUUGUCCUUGGUGAAGAGCAGAAGACGGUAGCCAAGGAGGAAGCCCCGGCUAACUACGUGCCAGCAGCCGCGGUAAUACGUAGGGGGCGAGCGUUGUCCGUAAUGAUUGGGCGUAAAGGGCGCGUAGGCGGCCUGUUAAGUCUGGAGUGAAAGUCCUGCUUUCAAGGUGGGAAUUGCUUUGGAAACUGGCGGGCUGGAGUGCAGGAGAGGUUAGCGGAAUUCCCGGUGUAGCGGUGAAAUGCGUAGAGAUCGGGAGGAACACCAGUGGCGAAGGCGGCUAACUGGACUGUAACUGACGCUGAAGCGCGAAAGUGUGGGGAGCAAACAGGAUUAGAUACCCUGGUAGUCCACACUGUAAACGAUGAAUGCUAGGUGUAGGGGGUAUCGACCCCUUCUGUGCCGGAGUUAACACAAUAAGCAUUCCGCCUGGGGAGUACGGCCGCAAGGUUG